UCGAACGAGGCUGGGGGGGCAACUCCUCAGUCGAGUGGCGGACGGGUGAGUAACACGUGGGUAACCUGCCCGGAAGUGGGGAAUACCUCGGGGAAACUCGAGCUAAUACCGCAUGACAUCUUCGGGACGAAAGUCCUGACGAUCAAAGCGGGGUCGCAAGAUCUCGCGCUACCGGAUGGGCCCGCGCCCGAUUAGCUAGUUGGUGAGGUAACGGCUCACCAAGGCUUCGAUCGGUAACCGGCCUGAGAGGGCGAUCGGUCACACCGGAACUGAGACACGGUCCGGACUCCUACGGGAGGCAGCAGUGGGGAAUCUUGCGCAAUGGGCGAAAGCCUGACGCAGCAACGCCGCGUGGAGGAUGAAGGCCCUUGGGUUGUAAACUCCUGUCGGCUGGGAAGAAAUCGUUCGCGGCUAAUACCUGCGGACGUUGACUGUACCAGCAAAGGAAGCCCCGGCUAACUCUGUGCCAGCAGCCGCGGUAAUACAGAGGGGGCCAGCGUUAUUCGGAAUUAUUGGGCGUAAAGGGCGCGUAGGCGGCCAUGCGUGUCUCCCGUGAAAUCCCUCGGCUUAACUGAGGACGUGCGGGGGAAACUGCAAGGCUCGAGUCCGGGAGAGGGGGGUGGAAUUCCCAGUGUAGCGGUGAAAUGCGUAGAUAUUGGGAGGAACACCGGUGGCGAAGGCGGCCCCCUGGACCGGAACUGACGCUGAUGCGCGAAAGCGUGGGUAGCAAACGGGAUUAGAUACCCCGGUAGUCCACGCCGUAAACGAUGGGCACUUGGUGUCGCGGGUAUCGAC
This 795-nucleotide ribosomal RNA is filed under the name uncultured bacterium. RNAcentral's name for it is "bacterial SSU rRNA". It matches the Rfam family "Bacterial small subunit ribosomal RNA", at positions 62 to 836 of the family's 1533-position model. The record is from RNAcentral.